CCUACGGGAGGCAGCAGUGGGGAAUAUCGGACAAUGGGGGGAACCCUGAUCCAGCCAUGCCGCGUGUGUGAAGAAGGCCCUCGGGUUGUAAAGCACUUUCAGUGAGGAAGAACGCCUGGUGGUUAAUACCCAUCAGGAAAGACAUCACUCACAGAAGAAGCACCGGCUAACUCCGUGCCAGCAGCCGCGGUAAUACGGAGGGUGCGAGCGUUAAUCGGAAUUACUGGGCGUAAAGCGCGCGUAGGUGGCUUGAUAAGCCGGUUGUGAAAGCCCCGGGCUCAACCUGGGAACGGCAUCCGGAACUGUCAAGCUAGAGUGCAGGAGAGGAAGGUAGAAUUCCCGGUGUAGCGGUGAAAUGCGUAGAGAUCGGGAGGAAUACCAGUGGCGAAGGCGGCCUUCUGGACUGACACUGACACUGAGGUGCGAAAGCGUGGGUAGCAAACAGGAUUAGAUACCCGGGUAGUC
This 465-nucleotide ribosomal RNA is filed under the name Vreelandella stevensii. Its description in RNAcentral is "partial 16S ribosomal RNA". It matches the Rfam family "Bacterial small subunit ribosomal RNA", at positions 338 to 795 of the family's 1533-position model. Lineage: Bacteria; Pseudomonadati; Pseudomonadota; Gammaproteobacteria; Oceanospirillales; Halomonadaceae. The record is from RNAcentral.